Molecule: unclassified non-coding RNA, 398 nt
Filed under: uncultured bacterium
Lineage: Bacteria
Description: contains 16S-23S intergenic spacer region
Source: RNAcentral
UCCCCGUUACCGGGGCAGUCUGAUUAGAAAAAUCCAACUAAUCAUAAGGGUUGCGCUCGUUGAAGGACUUAACCUAACAUCUCACGACACGAGCUGACGACGGCCAUGCAACACCUGUCACUGAGUUCCGGGUUACAAAACACAAAAAAUAUUUUAUGUACUGUAACCCGGCACUCACUCCUUUCGGAGUAAUUCUCAGGAUGUCAAGUCUGGGUAAGGUUCUUGGCUUAGCAUCCAAUUAAACAACACGCUCCACCGCUUGUGCGGGUCCCCGUCUAUUCCUUUGAGUUUUAAUCUUGCGACCGUACUCCCCAGGCGGGAUGCUUAACGCGUUAGCUUCGCUACUGAACGGGUCGAGCGUCCAACAGCUAGCAUCCAUCGUUUACGGCGUGGACUAC